This 388-nucleotide ribosomal RNA is filed under the name Photinus interdius. RNAcentral describes it as "partial 16S ribosomal RNA". Lineage: Eukaryota; Metazoa; Arthropoda; Insecta; Coleoptera; Lampyridae. The record is from RNAcentral.
AAAAACAUGUCUUUUUGAUUAUAAUUUAAAGUCUAAUCUGCUCAAUGAAAAUUAAAUAGCCGCAGUAUUUUGACUGUGCGAAGGUAGCGUGAUAAUUAGUUUCUUAAUUAGAAACUUGUAUGAAUGAUUGGACGAGAAAAUUUCUGUCUCUUUCGGAAUUGUUUUUGAAUUUUAUUUUUAAGUUAAAAAGCUUAAAUAAUUAUAAAAGACGAGAAGACCCCAUAGAGUUUUAUUUUUUAGUUUUAUUUUAGAAUAAUAUUUUUACUGAAAAAAUUAGUUGGGGUAACUUAAAGAUAAAAUAAAUUCUUUAAAUUUGAAAUCAUUAAUUUAUGAAUUUGGAAUCUAAUUUUUUAAAUUUAAAUAAAGUUACCUUGGGGAUAACAGCGUA